CCCCUACGGGAGGCAGCAGUAGGGAAUCUUUCACAAUGGGCGAAAGCCUGAUGGAGCAAUGCCGCGUGCAGGAUGAAGGCCUUCGGGUUGUAAACUGCUUUUAUAAGCGAGAAAUAUGAUGGUAACUUAUGAAUAAGGAUCGGCUAACUACGUGCCAGCAGCCGCGGUAAUGGGG
RNAcentral lists this ribosomal RNA (175 nucleotides) under uncultured bacterium. Its description in RNAcentral is "partial 16S ribosomal RNA". It matches the Rfam family "Bacterial small subunit ribosomal RNA", at positions 336 to 528 of the family's 1533-position model. The record is from RNAcentral.